AGGUGGUGCAUGGUUGUCGUCAGCUCGUGUCGUGAGAUGUUCGGGUUAAGUCCCGCAACGAGCGCAACCCUCGACCUUAGUUGCCAGCAUUCAGUUGGGCACUCUAAGGUGACUGCCGGCUAAAAGUCGGAGGAAGGUGGGGAUGACGUCAAAUCAUCAUGCCCCUUAUGACCUGGGCUACACACGUGCUACAAUGGGCGGUACAAAGGGUCGCGAACCCGCGAGGGGGAGCCAAUCCCAAAAAAGCCGCUCUCAGUUCGGAUUGCAGGCUGCAACUCGCCUGCAUGAAGCCGGAAUCGCUAGUAAUCGCGGAUCAGCAUGCCGCGGUGAAUACGUUCCCGGGCCUU
This 347-nucleotide ribosomal RNA is filed under the name uncultured Anoxybacillus sp. RNAcentral describes it as "bacterial SSU rRNA". It matches the Rfam family "Bacterial small subunit ribosomal RNA", at positions 1036 to 1382 of the family's 1533-position model. The record is from RNAcentral. Lineage: Bacteria; Bacillati; Bacillota; Bacilli; Caryophanales; Anoxybacillaceae.